This 498-nucleotide ribosomal RNA is filed under the name Agama anchietae. RNAcentral describes it as "partial 16S ribosomal RNA". It matches the Rfam family "Bacterial large subunit ribosomal RNA", at positions 1817 to 2597 of the family's 2925-position model. Lineage: Eukaryota; Metazoa; Chordata; Lepidosauria; Squamata; Agamidae. The record is from RNAcentral.
AGCCAUUAGCCAAACAAGUAUUAAAGGUAAUGCCUGCCCAGUGAGAACUUUUCUUAAAUGGCCGCGACACAAUCGUGCGAAGGUAGCGAAAUCACUUGUCUCCUAAAUAGAGACCCGUAUGAAAGGCCUAAUGAGAAAGAGACUGUCUCUUGAAGAUGGCUGGUGAAACUAAUCUGCCUGUGCAAAAGCAGACAUAAUAAAACAAGACAAAAAGACCCUGUGAAACUUAAAAAUUAACACCAUCAUCAUGGCCGUAUUUUUUUGGUUGGGGCAACCAAAGAGAAAUAAAACCUCUUACACGCAUCAGACCAACAAGUCUAAUCACACAAUAAUCGACCCAGUAAAACUGAUCAACGGACCAAGCUACUCCAGGGAUAACAGCGCCAAAUUCUUGAAGAGUUCACAUCAACAAGAAUUCUUACGACCUCGAUGUUGGAUCAGGAUACCCAAACAGUGCAAAAGCCGCUAACGGUUCGUUUGUUCAACGAUUAAUAUCCU